Molecule: ribosomal RNA, 448 nt
Filed under: uncultured bacterium
Lineage: Bacteria
Description: partial 16S ribosomal RNA
Rfam family: Bacterial small subunit ribosomal RNA
Source: RNAcentral
AACGAACGCUGGCGGCAUGCCUAACACAUGCAAGUCGAACGAGAUCUUCGGGUCUAGUGGCGCACGGGUGCGUAACGCGUGGGAAUCUGCCCUUUGGUUCGGAAUAACAGUUGGAAACGACUGCUAAUACCGGAUGAUGACGAAAGUCCAAGAUUUAUCGCCAGAGGAUGAGCCCGCGUAGGAUUAGCUAGUUGGUGUGGUAAAGGCGCACCAAGGCGACGAUCCUUAGCUGGUCUGAGAGGAUGAUCAGCCACACUGGGACUGAGACACGGCCCAGAAUCGUACGGGGGGCAGCAGUGGGGAAUAUUGGACAAUGGGCGAAAGCCUGAUCCAGCAAUGCCGGGUGAGUGAUGAAGGCCUUAGGGUUGUAAAGCUCUUUUACCCGGGAUGAUAAUGACAGUACCGGGAGAAUAAGCUCCGGCUAACUCCGUGCCAGCAGCCGCGGUAA